UGGAAUAAAAUUUUAUUUUAAGUCAUUUAGGGGUAAAAUACUUAUUUUUAGUGUCAAAGUGGUUGAUUGAUAUAAGUUUAGAAACAAAUGUGGUGCAAAGUACAUGUCAAAAUUGAGUAAUGAUAUAGCCACAAAUUCUUGUACAAACUUAUUUAGUACAAACUGAUGUGUCGUUAAUUCAUUGGUUGAAUUAAAUAUCUUUUGGCCCACAUAAUUUAUUUUUAUUAUUUUAUUUUUUUAUUCAACUAAUGAAUUAAUGCCACAUCAAUUUAUACAAGAUAAGUUUGUACAAGAGUUUGUGACUGUAUCAUCACUCGUCAAAAUUUUGAGGUGGUUAGAUAUACAUAUAACAAAACAAAGGUGGUGCAGAAAUAAUUUCCCUAAAAGUAAUAAUAGUCUACCUUUAUCUAUUAUCACAAGUUACAUAGAGAUGGGUAAUAAUGCUAAUUAUUAAAUUUUAUUUAGGCAAUGAUGAAAAUUAAUUAAUUAGAUAGGGAUAUUUUGGAGAAUAUCUUUUAAUGAUACCAUUAAGAUUUUUUAGAUUUAGCAAAAAAUUAAAAAAAUUAGUUUAAUAACUUAAUGACUUACUAGCUGAACAUUUUUGUUAUUGAAAAAACAAAUGGACUUAAUAUUUUUACCUUUUUGCUUAAUCUAAAAAUUCUGAAUAAUAUUAUAAAAGAUAUUUUCCAAAAUUUCCCUACCUAAUUGAUAAUUUUCACCGUUACCUAAAUAAAAUUUAAUAAUUAGCAUUAUUAUCUAUUUCUAUAACUUGUGAUAAUACUUCUGUUUCAUCGAUUUUGUCUGAAUCCUCAUUUUCUCCGAAAAAAGGGAAGGAGAAGGAUCUUCUUUGCUUUUUAAUUGGAUUUGGAUCCAUCGGAACUGACGGGGCUCAAACCCACAACUUCCGCCAUGACAGGGCAGUACCCCCUUCGGCUUGUAGUUGAGAAGAGUUUUAGUUUAGGAAAGGGCUAAAGAAAGGGGUGCAAUCCCUCUCGUUGAGAGUUGUUGAGUGUUAAAAAUUGUAUAUUUAUAAAGGAGAAAAUCGUUAUUUUACACUCCAAGUUUCACUAGCAUCCCUACUUUUAUGUAUUUAAGUCCUUGUGAUUUAAUUAUGCGUGUUGUAUUAUAAUUAAGUAUUUUAUGUAUUUUAGGGGCAUCAUGAUCAUUUCACAAUAAACGACAGAUCAGACAGCAAAACGAAUAUCACUUUUGAACUCAAGACAGUUGAAAACCUUAGGGAGAGCAUAAAAGGAAAAAUGACACUAUUCACAUGUACGGUAUUGUCCAUGAUACUGUUCACGACAUUGUUCACAUAUAUGGAAUGAUGACGUGACAUUGACCGAUGAGGUGACAUUAACUGAUGAGGUGUCACGAUCCUAUUAGACUAAAAUUCUUAUGUACUGUUAAUCAGUGACGUGGCAGCAUGUUAGUGGACCAAAAAUCGUGCGUACGAUAUAUGCAUAUACACGGAAUUAUUUAUAACCAAACUGUGUCACUAUUCAAGCCGCCUCACAAUUCAUACCGCGUCACUAUUCAAAUCGCGUGUUGUUGACACGUGGCGCAAUCCUGAGCGUCCAAAUUAUUUUUAAUCCAAUGACCAUGAUUUACUCAGUGUAUCUAUAAAAAAUGGGACUCCCCCCUAAUUUGAGACCCCUUAAUUCAAUUUUGAGCUGCAUUUUCUGUAAUUCCUUCUCCAUAUUAUAUUUUCUAAGUAUUUUAAUAAAUUUUCAUUUUACCCCUAGUUCAAUUAUAAGUAGUUAAUUUUUUUUCAACCUUGGGUUGAAGGUGAAGUCUCAACAUGUUCCAUGACUUUAUUUGUAAAUUUACUUUCUCUUCUCCUCUGAUUUUUGUGGAUGUUUUGACUUUUCGUCAACAGAUAGUAAUAAUCUUAUCUAGAUACCGCACUGGUAUAACCAGCUCCCUAGUGCAAGGUUAUUAUUAUUUGAGACCCCUGAAUUCAUUUUUGAGCUACAAUUUCUGUAAUUCCUUCUCCAUCUUGUAUUUUCUAAAUAUUUUAAUAAAUUUUCAUUUUACCCCUAGUUCAAUUAUAAGUAGUUAAUUUUUUUUUCAAGCUUGGGUUGAAGGUGAAGUCUCAACAUGUUCUAUGACUUUAUUUGUAAAUUUACUUUCUCUUCUCCUCUGAUUUUUGUGGAUGUUUUGAUUUUUUGUCGACAUAUAGUAAUAAUCUUAUCUAGAUACCACAUUGGUAUAACCGGCUCCCUAGUGCAAGGUUAUUAUUAUUUGGCACGAUAAGCCCUUAGCACCAUAUUGAUUAGAGUGUGAUUCAUGAGGAGUGAAAACCCCCUCAUGAUUUAAUUGGCACUAAUAAGGAAUAUUAAGCUCAUGGUGCAUGUUGAUGCAGAUCCAGAUAGCCAAGUACUCCAUUUUAAUAGUUUUCUCUUUAAUUUAUUCCUGCCAUUUUAAUUCAAAUUUUAAGAUAAUCUAAGUCACUUUUAUCACAAAUCCAACCACCCACUUAGAAAUUUAAUUCUACACAUAAUUAAAAUCCACAUUUUCGUGGGAUCGAUACUCGUCACCAUUAAUAUAUUCUACAAUAGAUUUGUGCACUUGCGAGUUCAAUAAAAUUUGCACAACAAGAGUCAAAGGUCUCCUGGAACUUUAACUAAUAGGAGAGGGCUUUAAUGUUAUAGCACCUAGGGGGUGGGCAAAAUCGAGUUCGGAUCAACCCGAUCGGGUUUCGGGUUGAUCGGGUUAGAUGAAUUUUCAUCCGAACUCAAAACGAACUUAUAACCCGAACCGAUCUGAUCUGAAUAUAAUUCGAACUCAACCCGAAUAUAAUUCGGAUCGGAUCGGAUCGGAUCGGGUUAUAAGUUCGGGUUGAGUUCGGAUCGGAUUAGAUCCAGGUUAGAUGUGGUUCGGGUUAGAUUUGAAUCAAUUUGGAUUAUUCGAGUCUACUCGGGUCGGGUACAAUUCAACAAUACAUAAUUACCUAUUAUUAACAAUCGCCAAAUACCAAUUAAACAUUAAUCUUUCACACAUAAUAUAUAAUAUACAUCUAUAGCAUCACUGUCAAAGGCUCAAAGCUUCCAAAACCCAAAGUCAACAGCCAAAAUUCGGGUUGCAGCUUAUCGGGUUCGAAUGGGUGUUGACGGGUUCGAAUAGACCUUGAAUCAGAUUGGGUGAUGGUGGAGGAUUAGAGACAUGGAGGUGGCGCAACAAAUUCGGUACUUCGUAGCAGUAGAUCGGUAGAUCGGGUACUGCGUAGCAGUAGAUUGGCUUCGGUUGGCGUCGAAUCUUGGUGGUUGCUGCGUUUGGCGUUGGAUCUCAGUUUUGGUUGGCAGUGGGCUGUUGCUGCUUGUGUGUUUGCGUUUCGUUUAUUUGGGGGAGGCUGGGGGUUGGCUGUCGGCAGUGGGUUGCGAGCGAGGGAGGCUGUGGGUGGUGGGUGAGUGGUCGUGUACGUGGAUUGGUUGUUGGCAGUGGGCUGUUGCUACUGCUGUGCUGCGUGUGUUGUUGUUAAUGUGUUAUUUGUGUGUGUUUGUAAUCGUUUGUGUGUGUGUGUGCAUCCUUUGUGUGUGGUUGCAAUCGUUUGUGUGUGUGUGCCUGACUUGUGUUUGACUUGUGUUUUUGUGUAUUGUGUAUUAUUUGUGAAAUGUGAAUAUGUUGUUUGUGUGUGGCGUGUGUGUUUAGAUUUAGUUUUUUUUUUUUAAAGCAACCCGAUCAGGUUUCACCAUUUUCAUCCGAUCGGGUUUCCUUUAUAACCUAAUCCGAUCCGAACCUGGAUUUUUUUGGGUCAAGUCAGGUCGGAUCGGAUUGGGUCGGGUCGGGUAUUUUGCCCACCCCUAAUAGCACCCAAUUGUGGCUCUCAAUUCAUCCUAUUUCAUCAGAUCUGGGAUGUGAUAUGGUUAUGUGGUGUAAAAUUAUUAUUUUUGUCUUUUUUAUUUUCUUCAAAAUAGUAUUAUUUAUCUUCAUAAUUUUUUAUGAAUAUUU
RNAcentral lists this long non-coding RNA (3948 nucleotides) under Citrus x clementina. RNAcentral describes it as "Citrus clementina (C. clementina) long non-coding RNA (CCLE_LNC001051)". The record is from RNAcentral. Lineage: Eukaryota; Viridiplantae; Streptophyta; Magnoliopsida; Sapindales; Rutaceae.